This 874-nucleotide ribosomal RNA is filed under the name Psychrobacter pulmonis. RNAcentral's name for it is "bacterial SSU rRNA". It matches the Rfam family "Bacterial small subunit ribosomal RNA", at positions 33 to 899 of the family's 1533-position model. The record is from RNAcentral. Lineage: Bacteria; Pseudomonadati; Pseudomonadota; Gammaproteobacteria; Moraxellales; Moraxellaceae.
GGGAUUGGGGGAGCCUUACACAUGCAAGUACGGAGCGGUAACAGGAGAAGCUUGCUUCUCGCUGACGAGCGGCGGACGGGUGAGUAAUACUUAGGAAUCUACCUAGUAGUGGGGGAUAGCUCGGGGAAACUCGAAUUAAUACCGCAUACGACCUACGGGAGAAAGGGGGCAACUUGUUGCUCUCGCUAUUAGAUGAGCCUAAGUCGGAUUAGCUAGAUGGUGGGGUAAAGGCCUACCAUGGCGACGAUCUGUAGCUGGUCUGAGAGGAUGAUCAGCCACACCGGGACUGAGACACGGCCCGGACUCCUACGGGAGGCAGCAGUGGGGAAUAUUGGACAAUGGGGGCAACCCUGAUCCAGCCAUGCCGCGUGUGUGAAGAAGGCCUUUUGGUUGUAAAGCACUUUAAGCAGUGAAGAAGACUCCAUGGUUAAUACCCAUGGACGAUGACAUUAGCUGCAGAAUAAGCACCGACUAACUCUGUGCCAGCAGCCGCGGUAAUACAGAGGGUGCAAGCGUUAAUCGGAAUUACUGGGCGUAAAGCGAGCGUAGGUGGCUUGAUAAGUCAGAUGUGAAAGCCCCGGGCUUAACCUGGGAACGGCAUCUGAUACUGUUAGGCUAGAGUAGGUGAGAGGAAGGUAGAAUUCCAGGUGUAGCGGUGAAAUGCGUAGAGAUCUGGAGGAAUACCGAUGGCGAAGGCAGCCUUCUGGCAUCAUACUGACACUGAGGUUCGAAAGCGUGGGUAGCAAACAGGAUUAGAUACCCUGGUAGUCCACGCCGUAAACGAUGUCUACUAGUCGUUGGGUCCCUUGAGGACUUAGUGACGCAGCUAACGCAAUAAGUAGACCGCCUGGGGAGUACGGCCGCAAGGUUAAAA